RNAcentral lists this precursor RNA (523 nucleotides) under Oryza barthii. RNAcentral's name for it is "putative precursor microRNA R319a". The stretch from base 250 to 442 matches the Rfam family "MIR159 microRNA precursor family". Lineage: Eukaryota; Viridiplantae; Streptophyta; Magnoliopsida; Poales; Poaceae. The record is from RNAcentral.
GCCCCCCUCAUUCCAUUUAUGUUUUAUUCCUGUCAUCUUCGUGACCUAGUUAGUUUCUUAAUUGGUGUUCUUUGCGAUAAUAAUCUGAAGUAAACAAGUUCUUUAUGAACACUCACUAUUCUCGUCUCCAUUGGAUUAGCAGAUGCAGAUUUACCAGGUUUCCUUUUCUUUGCCGCGUUGUUUAAGAUUUCCAUUGUAUUUCUUGUUUUGCAAUUCAUUUGGUGCUCCAAGAUUGUGGCUUUGACUACAUGUGUAAGAAGAGAGCUCUCUUCAGUCCACUCUCAGAUGGCUGUAGGGUUUUAUUAGCUGCCGAAUCAUCCAUUCACCUACCAAGAAAGUUGCAGGAGUGUAUCUCUUGGUAGCGGACUGGAUGACGCGGGAGCUAAAAUUUAGCUCUGCGCCGUUUGUGGUUGGACUGAAGGGUGCUCCCUUGCUCAAGCACUCGUGCAUAAAAUCAUCCGCUAAUGUUAAUAAUAAUCUUCAGAUUUCUAUAUGAGUUUUAUGUCCAGUGUGUUCAGUUUCA